GCCAGGCACGGUGGCGUGUGCCUGUAGUCCAAGCUACUUGGGAAGCUGAGGUGGGAGGAUCGCUUGAGCCCUGGAGUUCUGGGCUGUAGUGCGAUAUGCUGACCAGGUGUCCACACUAAGUUCGGCAUCAAUAUGGUGACCUCCUCGGAGCAGGGGACCACCAGGUUGCCUAAGGAGGGGUGAACCAGCCCAGGUCAGAAACGGAGCAGGUCAAAACUCCUGUGCUGAUCAGUAGUGGGAUCACGCCUGUGAAUAGCCACUGCACUCCAGCCUGGGCAACAUAGCGAGACCCCGUCUCU
RNAcentral lists this signal recognition particle RNA (299 nucleotides) under Aotus nancymaae (Ma's night monkey). RNAcentral describes it as "Metazoan signal recognition particle RNA (ENSANAG00000014838.1)". It matches the Rfam family "Metazoan signal recognition particle RNA". Rfam says of the family: The signal recognition particle (SRP) is a universally conserved ribonucleoprotein. It is involved in the co-translational targeting of proteins to membranes. Lineage: Eukaryota; Metazoa; Chordata; Mammalia; Primates; Aotidae. The record is from RNAcentral.